RNAcentral lists this ribosomal RNA (405 nucleotides) under uncultured bacterium. Its description in RNAcentral is "partial 16S ribosomal RNA". It matches the Rfam family "Bacterial small subunit ribosomal RNA", at positions 30 to 526 of the family's 1533-position model. The record is from RNAcentral.
AUUGAACGCUGGCGGCAGGCUUAACACAUGCAAGUCGAACGAGUGGCGGACGGGUGAGUUAUGCUUGGGAAUCUAGCUUAUGGAGGGGGAUAACUACGGGAAACUGUAGCUAAUACCGCGUACCAUAGGAUGAGCCCAAGUGGGAUUAGGUAGUUGGUGAGGUAAAGGCUCACCAAGCCGACGAUCUCGAGCUGGUCUGAGAGGAUGACCAGCCACACGGGGACUGAGACACGGCCCAGACUCCUGCGGGAGGCAGCAGUGGGGAAUAUUGGGCAAUGGGGGCAACCUGACGCAGCCAUGCCGCGUGAAUGAAGAAGGCCUUCGGGUUGUAAAGUUCUUUCGGUAGCGAGGCGUUAACUACAGAAGAAGCACCGGCUAACUCCGUGCCAGCAGCCGCGGUAAUAC